This 72-nucleotide transfer RNA is filed under the name Patescibacteria group bacterium. RNAcentral describes it as "tRNA-Val". It matches the Rfam family "tRNA". From Rfam's summary of the family: Transfer RNA (tRNA) molecules are approximately 80 nucleotides in length. Their secondary structure includes four short double-helical elements and three loops (D, anti-codon, and T loops). The record is from RNAcentral.
GGGCAAUUGGCUCAGUGGUAGAGCGUCUCGUUUACACCGAGAAGGUCGUAGGUCCGAUCCCUACAUUGCCCA